AUUGAACGCUGGCGGCAGGCCUAACACAUGCAAGUCGAACGGUAACAGGAAGCAGCUUGCUGUUUCGCUGACGAGUGGCGGACGGGUGAGUAAUGUCUGGGAAGCUGCCUGAUGGAGGGGGAUAACUACUGGAAACGGUAGCUAAUACCGCAUAACGUCGCAAGACCAAAGAAGGGGACCUUCGGGCUUCUUGCCAUCGGACGUGCCCAGAUGGGAUUAGCUAGUAGGUGGGGUAACGGCCCACCUAGGCGACGAUCCCUAGCGGGUCUGGGAGGAGGAACGGCCGCACUGGAACUGAGACCAUGUCCAGACUCCUACGGGAGGCAGGAGUGGGGAAUAGUGCACACUGGGCGCAAGCCUGAUGCAGCCAUGCCGCGUGUAUGAAGAAGGCGUUCGGGUUGUAAAGUACUUUCAGCGGGGAGGAAGGGAGUAAAGUUAAUACCUUUGCUCAUUGACGUUACCCGCAGAAGAAGCACCGGCUAACUCCGUGCCAGCCGCCGCGGUAA
Molecule: ribosomal RNA, 506 nt
Filed under: uncultured bacterium
Lineage: Bacteria
Description: partial 16S ribosomal RNA
Rfam family: Bacterial small subunit ribosomal RNA
Source: RNAcentral